CCAGUGGCAAUGACCCAGACCCGGACGACCCCCAUUGCUGAGCCAGCGGAGCUGCUUGGGUCCACGAGGCUGGUGUCAGACCUAUUGGGAGACCCUCUGCGUUAGUGAGAAAAACGGCAAGAAAUGGGAGCACGCGGAAACCUCCAAGACUAGAGCCACCAGAUGCCACCGACAGCACGCAGCUGGACCAGCACGGGGGAGGGCCUUCGUGGGUCGAGAGCUCGCUCGGGAGAUAGUUGGUGCUUUUCUUUCAGGAGAAGAAUCCCUGGCGGAGUCUGACCGUUCUCUGGCGCACAGCCCCGGGGGUGGGCACAGCAGCCGCCCCUGCUGAAGGGACUGACGCCUCCGACGACCAGCAGCCAAGUUAAACGCACUGUUCCGUGAGCAGCUUUGUUGGAGACAGCGCGGUUCACAUUCUCUUCCAACGGAGCCGCUGACUGCGGAGCUGGGAGGGGACGUGACAGAACCCAGCCAUCCAACGUCCCCCCACCCCUCCCCAGCUGGGACCUCCGGCUGCUUCCGGGCUGCGCUGGGUGGCGUCAAGGAGCCGCCCCUCUGGGCCGCGUCCCUCCCUCACGCCCUGCACACUGGCCCUGUGUGGCCGGCGGGGCGCCUAAAAGGGCGGAAGGAUGCAGGGGCGGAGGGGGCUCGGGAUUGCACGCCUAGCUCAGACCCCCCAGCCAGGACCCCUCGCGCUGUUGGACACGCCAGCCUCCCGACCCUGCGGCUCCUACGGGAGGUGACAAGGACCCUGCCAACCUGGCCUGAAUGGCCCAGUUUGAUACAGAUCAGGUUUUCAAUGAAUGAGACCGCGGUGUGGUCUAGGCGGAGGGAUGAGAGGAGGGGAUUCUGCUGGGAUAAGUGGGGGCGGGGUAAGGAGGGGAUUCUUUUCCUGGGCUGAGGAGAACGCAGGGACAAAGUACACAGGGGUAGUUGAGUGAGCAGGUGAGGCCCUAGGCUGGUUCCCCACCUUCUCAGGAUCGGAGCCACUCACUUCCUGGUACUCUCUGCAGUCUCCUGGCGUUAAAUAACAUCCCUUUGCUGGAGACUCUGGAUUCACAUCCAUAAUCGCAGCCUCCCCUACUCAUCCCCUCACGCUUCCCAUGAACUAACCUUGAAGGACCCGACCAGAGCCCUGACCUCCGUCCCACACACCUGCUACAUGGAAGGUGUUCUCCACAUCAGUUCAAGGCAGUGUCACUCUUCAGGAUGUUCAGGCUCUAAACCUUGGACUCCUCCUCCAGAUUUCUCUCUCCUUCCUUCUCCUUGUCUCUCCCUUGCACUUACGGUUCACUUUUCCUUCGUAGCUUUGUAGCUCAUUCCCCCUUCCACUUUCCACACCACCUUCUGGUCUGUUAAUUAAAUAUUACCUGGUUUCCACUGACACCUUCCCUGGGUUCCCAAUUGAAAAUCACAACAUCAUCCUCCUCCUCUGCUUUUUUUCUCCAAAUUAUAUCCUCACCCAAUUAUGUGUUAUUCUCAUUAAUCUUGCUUAAUUAAUUAGCAGACAUUAUUAAUGCCUGUUUCCCCUAUCACCACCACUAGACUAUGAACUCCUAAGGACUCCUUCCUUCCACCACUGUUGUACUCGCUUCACCUAGAACUGCUUGGCACAUACAAUGUGCUCCAUAAAUAUUUGUUGAAUGAAAGACUAGACACAACUUAGGAUUCACUCCCCCAUGUGGCAUCCAUAAGCCCUGUAUGCAGGUAAAAUGUCAGUGGGUUGACUAAAUACUGGAAGUGGAAAAAACUUCACCUCUUUGGUUUGCAGUUGUCUAGGAUAUUUAGGCCAAUGGAAAAUCCAGUUUUCCUUAGAAUUAAGCCAGUGCCGCCAGACUUGCCAGUUUACCAUGCUUGUCUGACUGGUCCUCAGCAUGGGUCAUACGUGUCCAAUGAAUUCAAACAAAAUCUUGAGAAGACACGAACCUUGCCCUUCGGCUGGGCGCGGUGGCUCACGCCUGUAAUCCCAGCACUUUGGGAGGCCGAGGCAGGCGGAUCACGAGGUCAGGAGAUCGAGACCAUCCUGGCUAACAUGGUGAAACCCCGUCUCUACUAAAAAUACAAAAAAUUAGCCGAGCGUGGUGGCGGGCGCCUGUAGUCCCAGCUACUCAGGAGGCUGAGGCAGGAGAAUGGCGUGAACCCGGGAGGCGGAGCUUGCAGUGAGUGAGCCGAGAUCGCACCCCUGCACUCCAGCCUGGGCGACAGAGCGAGACUCCGUAAAAAAACAAAAAAAAAACCUUGCCCUUCAUUCCCCAUUUCUAUCAUAAUCUACACAGAGUUUUGAACAGGCAUUUUAAAAUCAACAAUAUAUUAUUUACAAUUUUGUUAGUAUACAUAACUCUAACUCACUGUUAAAAAUCACCUGUCUUUAUAUCCAUUAAAUGACACUUGCAUAUGCUCCAA
RNAcentral lists this long non-coding RNA (2403 nucleotides) under Homo sapiens (human). RNAcentral's name for it is "KHDC1 antisense RNA 1". The record is from RNAcentral. Lineage: Eukaryota; Metazoa; Chordata; Mammalia; Primates; Hominidae.